RNAcentral lists this ribosomal RNA (497 nucleotides) under uncultured bacterium. RNAcentral describes it as "partial 16S ribosomal RNA". It matches the Rfam family "Bacterial small subunit ribosomal RNA", at positions 28 to 507 of the family's 1533-position model. The record is from RNAcentral.
GAUGAACGCUGGCGGCGUGCCUAAUACAUGCAAGUCGAGCGAACAGAUGAGGAGCUUGCUCCUCUGACGUUAGCGGCGGACGGGUGAGUAACACGUGGAUAACCUACCUAUAAGACUGGGAUAACUUCGGGAAACCGGAGCUAAUACCGGAUAAUAUAUUGAACCGCAUGGUUCAAUAGUGAAAGACGGUUUUGCUGUCACUUAUAGAUGGAUCCGCGCCGCAUUAGCUAGUUGGUAAGGUAACGGCUUACCAAGGCGACGAUGCGUAGCCGACCUGAGAGGGUGAUCGGCCACACUGGAACUGAGACACGGUCCAAACUCCUACGGGAGGCAGCAGUAGGGAAUCUUCCGCAAUGGGCGAAAGCUUGACGGAGCAACGCCGCGUGAGUGAUGAAGGUCUUCGGAUCGUAAAACUCUGUUAUUAGGGAAGAACAAAUGUGUAAGUAACUAUGCACGUCUUGACGGUACCUAAUCAGAAAGCCACGGCUAACUACGUG